Small nucleolar RNA from Meriones unguiculatus (Mongolian gerbil), 138 nucleotides. Lineage: Eukaryota; Metazoa; Chordata; Mammalia; Rodentia; Muridae. The record is from Ensembl.
AAGGCCCAGAGAGGCAUUGCAGGUGUGGCUGCUGUGUCACACAUGAAUCAGUAGGUGGCAUAGAGGAGAGAGAGAGAGGCUAUGUCUAAGUUCAGUGUUCUGACCUGUGAACAUCUAAAUGAUUAGUAGCCUAAUACU